This 1292-nucleotide long non-coding RNA is filed under the name Cottoperca gobio. RNAcentral describes it as "lncRNA (ENSCGOG00000016841.1)". The record is from RNAcentral. Lineage: Eukaryota; Metazoa; Chordata; Actinopteri; Perciformes; Bovichtidae.
CAGAGAUGAGACGUGUGACCCUUUCAUCCUUCUACCACAGCAACUUCAAGAAACCAGAGCGGGGGGGGGGGGAGAGAGAGAGAGACUGGGAGGAGCGACGGUUUGAGCUCCAGGUGGUCGAGCCUGCGUAAAAACUCACCAAACACACGCCAAACGCUUACGAAAUAGUGGGAAAAGCUAGAUCCUUGCACUUAUAUGAAUGAAUAAGUUGUUUUGAGAAAGCCUGCUGGAUUUGUUGCUGGAUAAAUUACCAAAAGAGCGUAACGUGCUUCGGUGGUGCGUCACUGCGAUCUCCACAGAAAUCGGACAAAACGGCAUCAAACAGGGUGAACUUUAGAUUCUUGGCCAAAAACGACGGCUUGUUUCAGCCACAAGUGGAGAUAUGUUCAAGAAAAGCAAGAGUAAAGUGCUGGUGGAUUAUGCGUCAGAGGAAGACGACAUGUCCUGGCACCAUCAACACUCCUACAAGGACAAAGACAUAGAAGGAGAGGAAGAGGAGGAGGAGGAAGCAGUCACUGCAGUAACCAAGCUGCCUCCCUGCUGCAUGUACAGCUACUGUAGGUGAUUAAGUUCACAGGACAUAUUUCACGACCUGUCCUGUUUGCGAGGACAAGGGUGGCUGAGCUGGGGAAGGGAAGGAAACGGAGCAUUCUUUCGAGGAGCUGGACAUUUUGGUCGGGAACAAUCACCGUGGAAGAAAAACAAGGCUGAAAAUAGCCACAGACUACUCUGACACCAUGGAAGGCUACCAUUCUUCCACCGUCGGCUGUUUUAUGCUCAUAUUAGGACACACAAAGCAGACAUUGAGUCCUGGAGGUGGAGGAUACCUUUCACUGUAAAGGCUGAUUCCAUUUUCAUUCUGCAGUGCUGUAUAACUAUUUUUCAACACAAAAUGCAUCAAGCUGUACUUGCAAAUCUUUCUUGAUUCCUCCCUAAAACAUAUAUUUCCUAAGCAGUCCUUAUGUCCUUAUUGAACAAACAGCUUGCACUAAACCCCCUGUAAAACAAUCUGUCAUUUUUAAACGUGUUGGUUUUUGUUACAGAUUAAACAAAUACGAUACAACAUGUUGAUUAGUGAGGUGAGGUAUGUUUCUGAUGGGUGGAUUUUGUUUCCCCCUGCUGACUCUACUGUCAUAUUGAAUGGUUGGACAGUAAUAUCAGUCUAACUGAAUAUAACUCUUAGCAAGAAUGCAAAUAAAUCUAUUUCUUCAAGUCAUUUAUCAAGCAAAAAAUACCAAACAUUUGCUCAUCCCAGCUUCUCUAAAGGGAGAAUUGUCUGCUUUGCUGCUCUG